Molecule: ribosomal RNA, 2773 nt
Filed under: Escherichia coli 6-537-08_S4_C2
Lineage: Bacteria; Pseudomonadati; Pseudomonadota; Gammaproteobacteria; Enterobacterales; Enterobacteriaceae
Description: bacterial LSU rRNA
Rfam family: Bacterial large subunit ribosomal RNA
Source: RNAcentral
AGCGUACACGGUGGAUGCCCUGGCAGUCAGAGGCGAUGAAGGACGUGCUAAUCUGCGAUAAGCGUCGGUAAGGUGAUAUGAACCGUUAUAACCGGCGAUUUCCGAAUGGGGAAACCCAGUGUGUUUCGACACACUAUCAUUAACUGAAUCCAUAGGUUAAUGAGGCGAACCGGGGGAACUGAAACAUCUAAGUACCCCGAGGAAAAGAAAUCAACCGAGAUUCCCCCAGUAGCGGCGAGCGAACGGGGAGCAGCCCAGAGCCUGAAUCAGUGUGUGUGUUAGUGGAAGCGUCUGGAAAGGCGCGCGAUACAGGGUGACAGCCCCGUACACAAAAAUGCACAUGCUGUGAGCUCGAUGAGUAGGGCGGGACACGUGGUAUCCUGUCUGAAUAUGGGGGGACCAUCCUCCAAGGCUAAAUACUCCUGACUGACCGAUAGUGAACCAGUACCGUGAGGGAAAGGCGAAAAGAACCCCGGCGAGGGGAGUGAAAAAGAACCUGAAACCGUGUACGUACAAGCAGUGGGAGCACGCUUAGGCGUGUGACUGCGUACCUUUUGUAUAAUGGGUCAGCGACUUAUAUUCUGUAGCAAGGUUAACCGAAUAGGGGAGCCGAAGGGAAACCGAGUCUUAACUGGGCGUUAAGUUGCAGGGUAUAGACCCGAAACCCGGUGAUCUAGCCAUGGGCAGGUUGAAGGUUGGGUAACACUAACUGGAGGACCGAACCGACUAAUGUUGAAAAAUUAGCGGAUGACUUGUGGCUGGGGGUGAAAGGCCAAUCAAACCGGGAGAUAGCUGGUUCUCCCCGAAAGCUAUUUAGGUAGCGCCUCGUGAACUCAUCUCCGGGGGUAGAGCACUGUUUCGGCAAGGGGGUCAUCCCGACUUACCAACCCGAUGCAAACUGCGAAUACCGGAGAAUGUUAUCACGGGAGACACACGGCGGGUGCUAACGUCCGUCGUGAAGAGGGAAACAACCCAGACCGCCAGCUAAGGUCCCAAAGUCAUGGUUAAGUGGGAAACGAUGUGGGAAGGCCCAGACAGCCAGGAUGUUGGCUUAGAAGCAGCCAUCAUUUAAAGAAAGCGUAAUAGCUCACUGGUCGAGUCGGCCUGCGCGGAAGAUGUAACGGGGCUAAACCAUGCACCGAAGCUGCGGCAGCGACGCUUAUGCGUUGUUGGGUAGGGGAGCGUUCUGUAAGCCUGUGAAGGUGUACUGUGAGGUAUGCUGGAGGUAUCAGAAGUGCGAAUGCUGACAUAAGUAACGAUAAAGCGGGUGAAAAGCCCGCUCGCCGGAAGACCAAGGGUUCCUGUCCAACGUUAAUCGGGGCAGGGUGAGUCGACCCCUAAGGCGAGGCCGAAAGGCGUAGUCGAUGGGAAACAGGUUAAUAUUCCUGUACUUGGUGUUACUGCGAAGGGGGGACGGAGAAGGCUAUGUUGGCCGGGCGACGGUUGUCCCGGUUUAAGCGUGUAGGCUGGUUUUCCAGGCAAAUCCGGAAAAUCAAGGCUGAGGCGUGAUGACGAGGCACUACGGUGCUGAAGCAACAAAUGCCCUGCUUCCAGGAAAAGCCUCUAAGCAUCAGGUAACAUCAAAUCGUACCCCAAACCGACACAGGUGGUCAGGUAGAGAAUACCAAGGCGCUUGAGAGAACUCGGGUGAAGGAACUAGGCAAAAUGGUGCCGUAACUUCGGGAGAAGGCACGCUGAUAUGUAGGUGAAGCGACUUGCUCGUGGAGCUGAAAUCAGUCGAAGAUACCAGCUGGCUGCAACUGUUUAUUAAAAACACAGCACUGUGCAAACACGAAAGUGGACGUAUACGGUGUGACGCCUGCCCGGUGCCGGAAGGUUAAUUGAUGGGGUCAGCGCAAGCGAAGCUCUUGAUCGAAGCCCCGGUAAACGGCGGCCGUAACUAUAACGGUCCUAAGGUAGCGAAAUUCCUUGUCGGGUAAGUUCCGACCUGCACGAAUGGCGUAAUGAUGGCCAGGCUGUCUCCACCCGAGACUCAGUGAAAUUGAACUCGCUGUGAAGAUGCAGUGUACCCGCGGCAAGACGGAAAGACCCCGUGAACCUUUACUAUAGCUUGACACUGAACAUUGAGCCUUGAUGUGUAGGAUAGGUGGGAGGCUUUGAAGUGUGGACGCCAGUCUGCAUGGAGCCGACCUUGAAAUACCACCCUUUAAUGUUUGAUGUUCUAACGUUGACCCGUAAUCCGGGUUGCGGACAGUGUCUGGUGGGUAGUUUGACUGGGGCGGUCUCCUCCUAAAGAGUAACGGAGGAGCACGAAGGUUGGCUAAUCCUGGUCGGACAUCAGGAGGUUAGUGCAAUGGCAUAAGCCAGCUUGACUGCGAGCGUGACGGCGCGAGCAGGUGCGAAAGCAGGUCAUAGUGAUCCGGUGGUUCUGAAUGGAAGGGCCAUCGCUCAACGGAUAAAAGGUACUCCGGGGAUAACAGGCUGAUACCGCCCAAGAGUUCAUAUCGACGGCGGUGUUUGGCACCUCGAUGUCGGCUCAUCACAUCCUGGGGCUGAAGUAGGUCCCAAGGGUAUGGCUGUUCGCCAUUUAAAGUGGUACGCGAGCUGGGUUUAGAACGUCGUGAGACAGUUCGGUCCCUAUCUGCCGUGGGCGCUGGAGAACUGAGGGGGGCUGCUCCUAGUACGAGAGGACCGGAGUGGACGCAUCACUGGUGUUCGGGUUGUCAUGCCAAUGGCACUGCCCGGUAGCUAAAUGCGGAAGAGAUAAGUGCUGAAAGCAUCUAAGCACGAAACUUGCCCCGAGAUGAGUUCU